RNAcentral lists this non-coding RNA (64 nucleotides) under Agrococcus pavilionensis RW1. RNAcentral also lists the same sequence under 1 other name. Lineage: Bacteria; Bacillati; Actinomycetota; Actinomycetes; Micrococcales; Microbacteriaceae. The record is from RNAcentral.
ACUGGAUCCGACGCCGGAUCCGCGGACGAGGGAGCCGUACCCGCAGGGCGACAAGACGGCCAGU